This 380-nucleotide unclassified non-coding RNA is filed under the name uncultured fungus. Its description in RNAcentral is "sequence contains ITS1". The stretch from base 1 to 106 matches the Rfam family "5.8S ribosomal RNA", at positions 49 to 154 of the family's 154-position model. The record is from RNAcentral. Lineage: Eukaryota; Fungi.
UGAAAUGCGAAAAGUAAUGCGAUUUGCAUGAAUCUGUGAGUCAUCAAGUCUUUGAACGCACCUUGCACCGUAUGAGCAAUUGUACGGUAUACCUGUUUGAGAAUCGUAAAACGCUAUUUCUAUCGUUAGAUAGAAGACUUGUCGGCUGUGCGCUUCGGCGCACUCUGAUUAAAAGGAGCAAGUCUGGAUCGGGCUGGUGGCCUGGGACACUGUGUGCUAGAGACGUCGCUUCGGCUGACUGUCUUCUCACAGUGCGUCCUGGGCUACUCUUAAAGCUGGUCUGAUGCGGGCUUUCCAGUGGCAUGUGUGUGAGAUUUCUCCCACUUAUCACAACCCCCCACUUUGAUCUCAAAUCAGGUAAGGCUACCCGCUGAACUUAA